This 2209-nucleotide small RNA is filed under the name Pongo abelii (Sumatran orangutan). RNAcentral's name for it is "processed transcript". Lineage: Eukaryota; Metazoa; Chordata; Mammalia; Primates; Hominidae. The record is from RNAcentral.
CGGGACUAUGUCGCGUGCGCGGAGCCACCUGCGCGCCGCUCUAUUCCUGGCAGCGGCGUCUGCGCGCGGCGUAACGACCCAGGUCGCGGCGCGGCGGGGCUUGAGCGCGUGGCCGGUGCCGCAGGAGCCCAGCAUGGAGUACCAGGAUGCCGUGCGCAUGCUCAAUACCCUACAGACCAAUGCCGGCUACCUGGAGCAGGUGAAGCGCCAGCGGGGUGACCCCCAGACACAGCUGGAAGCCAUGGAACUGUACCUGGCACGGAGUGGGCUGCAGGUGGAGGACUUGGAUCGGCUGAACAUCAUCCACGUCACUGGGACGAAGGGGAAGGGCUCCACCUGUGCCUUCACGGAAUGUAUCCUCCGAAGCUAUGGCCUGAAGACGGGAUUCUUUAGGUUCGGGAGCGGAUCCGCAUCAAUGGGCAGCCCAUCAGUCCUGAGCUCUUCACCAAGUACUUCUGGCACCUCUACCACCGGCUGGAAGAGACCAAGGAUGGCAGCUGUGUCUCCAUGCCCCCCUACUUCCGCUUCCUGACACUCAUGGCCUUCCACGUCUUCCUCCAAGAGAAGGUGGACCUGGCAGUGGUGGAGGUGGGCAUUGGCGGGGCUUAUGACUGCACCAACAUCAUCAGGAAGCCUGUGGUGUGUGGAGUCUCCUCUCUUGGCAUCGACCACACCAGCCUCCUGGGGGAUACGGUGGAGAAGAUCGCAUGGCAGAAAGGGGGCAUCUUUAAGCAAGGUGUCCCUGCCUUCACUGUGCUCCAACCUGAAGGUCCCCUGGCAGUGCUGAGGGACCGAGCCCAGCAGAUCUCAUGUCCUCUAUACCUGUGUCCGAUGCUGGAGGCCCUGGAGGAAGGGGGGCCGCCGCUGACUCUGGGCCUGGAGGGGGAGCACCAGCGGUCCAACGCUGCCUUGGCCUUGCAGCUGGCCCACUGCUGGCUGCAGCGGCAGGACCACCAUGGUGCUGGGGAGCCGAAGGCAUCCAGGCCAGGGCUUCUGUGGCAGCUGCCCCUGGCACCUGUGUUCCAGCCCACAUCCCACAUGCGGCUCGGGCUUCGGAACACGGAGUGGCCGGGCCGGACGCAGGUGCUGCGGCGCGGGCCCCUCACCUGGUACCUGGACGGUGCGCACACCGCCAGCAGCGUGCAGGCCUGCGUUCGCUGGUUCCGCCAGGCGCUGCAGGGCCGCGAGCGGCCGAGCGGUGGCCCCGAGGUUCGAGUCUUGCUCUUCAAUGCUACCGGGGACCGGGACCCGGCGGCCCUGCUGAAGCUGCUGCAGCCUUGCCAGUUUGACUAUGCCGUCUUCUGCCCUAACCUGACAGAGGUGUCAUCCACAGGCAACGCAGACCAACAGAACUUCACAGUGACACUGGACCAGGUCCUGCUCCGCUGCCUGGAACACCAGCAGCACUGGAACCACCUGGACGAAGAGCAGGCCAGCCCGGACCUCUGGAGUGCCCCCAGCCCAGAGCCUGGUGGGUCCACAUCCCUGCUUCUGGCGCCCCACCCACCCCACACCUGCAGUGCCAGCUCCCUCGUCUUCAGCUGCAUUUCACAUGCCUUGCAAUGGAUCAGCCAAGGCCGAGACCCCAUCUUCCAGUCCCCCAGUCCCCCAAAGGGCCUCCUCACCCACCCCGUGGCUCACAGUGGGGCCGGCGUACUCCGUGAGGCUGCUGCCAUCCAUGUGCUAGUCACUGGCAGCCUGCACCUGGUGGGUGGUGUCCUGAAGCUGCUGGAGCCCGCACUGUCCCAGUAGCCAAGGCCCGGGGUUGGAAGUGGGAGCCUCCCACACCUGCCUGCGUUCUCCCCAUGAACUUACAUACUAGGUGCCUUUUGUUUUCUGCUUUCCUGGUUCUGUCUAGACUGGCCCAGGGACCAGGGCUCUGGAAUGGGAGGCCGGGAGAGGAUGUCCUCUUUUUUAAGGCUCUGUGCCUUGGUCUCUCCUUCCUCCUGGCCGAGAUAGCAGGGGGGCUCCCCGGGUCUCUCACUGUUGCAGUGGCCUGGCCGUUCAGCCUGUCUCCCCCAACACCCCGCCUGCCUCCUGGCUCAGGCCCAGCUUAUUGUGUGUGCUGCCUGGCCAGGCCCCGGGUCCUGCCAUGUGCUGGGUGGUAGAUUUUCUCCUCCCAGUGCCUUCUGGGAAGGAAGAGGGCCUCUGCCUGGGACACUGUGGGACAGAGGGUGGCUGAAGUGAAUUAAAGCCUUUGUUUUUUAAG